RNAcentral lists this ribosomal RNA (388 nucleotides) under uncultured bacterium. RNAcentral describes it as "bacterial SSU rRNA". It matches the Rfam family "Bacterial small subunit ribosomal RNA", at positions 29 to 408 of the family's 1533-position model. The record is from RNAcentral.
AACGAACGCUGGCGGCGCGCUUAACACAUGCAAGUCGAACGAGAAGCUGUAGCAAUACAGUUGUACAGUGGCGAACGGGUGAGGAAUACAUGGGUAACCUACCCUCGAGUGGGGAAUAACCAGCCGAAAGGCUGGCUAAUACCGCGUACGCUUCCCAAUCUGCGGGUUGGGAAGGAAAGCUCUACCGUGGGUAGAGCGCUCAAGGACGGGCUCAUGUCCUAUCAGCUUGUUGGAGGGUAACGGCCUACCAAGGCAACGACGGGUAGCUGGUCUGAGAGGACGAUCAGCCACACUGGCACUGCGACACGGGCCAGACUCCUACGGGAGGCAGCAGUGAGGAAUAUUGCGCAAUGGGCGACAGCCUGACGCAGCGACGCCGCGUGGGGGA